GACGGAGGGUGCAAGCGUUGUUCGGAAUUACUGGGCGUAAAGAGCGUGUAGGCGGUUUGAUAAGUCGAGUGUGAAAGCCCGAGGCUCAACUUCGGAAGUGCACUCGAAACUGUCAGGCUUGAGUACGGGAGAGGGAAGUGGAAUUCCUGGUGUAGAGGUGAAAUUCGUAGAUAUCAGGAGGAACACCGGUGGCGAAGGCGGCUUCCGGGACCGAUACUGACGCUGAGACGCGAAAGCGUGGGGAGCAAACAGG
Molecule: ribosomal RNA, 253 nt
Filed under: uncultured bacterium
Lineage: Bacteria
Description: partial 16S ribosomal RNA
Rfam family: Bacterial small subunit ribosomal RNA
Source: RNAcentral